This 465-nucleotide ribosomal RNA is filed under the name uncultured bacterium. RNAcentral's name for it is "partial 16S ribosomal RNA". It matches the Rfam family "Bacterial small subunit ribosomal RNA", at positions 28 to 507 of the family's 1533-position model. The record is from RNAcentral.
GACGAACGCUGGCGGCGUGCUUAACACAUGCAAGUCGAACGGAAAGGCCCUGCUUGCAGGGUACUCGAGUGGCGAACGGGUGAGUAACACGUGGGUGAUCUGCCCUGCACUUCGGGAUAAGCCUGGGAAACUGGGUCUAAUACCGGAUAGGAGCCAUUUUUAGUGUGAUGGUUGGAAAGUUUUUUCGGUGUAGGAUGAGCUCGCGGCCUAUCAGCUUGUUGGUGGGGUAAUGGCCUACCAAGGCGGCGACGGGUAGCCGGCCUGAGAGGGUGGACGGCCACAUUGGGACUGAGAUACGGCCCAGACUCCUACUGGAGGCAGAAGUGGGGAAUAUUGCACCAUGGGCGCCAGCCUGAUGCAGCGACGCCGCGUGGGGGAUGACGGCCUUCGGGUUGUAAACUCCUUUCGCUAGGGACGAAGCUUUUUGUGACGGUACCUAGAUAAGAAGCACCGGCUAACUACGUG